This 1481-nucleotide ribosomal RNA is filed under the name uncultured bacterium. RNAcentral describes it as "16S ribosomal RNA". It matches the Rfam family "Bacterial small subunit ribosomal RNA". The record is from RNAcentral.
AGAGUUUGAUCCUGGCUCAGGAUGAACGCUGGCGGCGUGCCUAACACAUGCAAGUCGAGCGAAGAUAAACUGCGGGUAUUCGUACCUGUGUUUAUCUUAGCGGCGGACGGGUGAGUAACACGUGAGCAACCUGCCUUUUGCUGGGGAAUAACAUUGGGAAACCAGUGCUAAUACCGCAUAGUGUCUUUACGGGGCAUCCUGUGGAGAUGAAAGAUUUAUCGGCAAGAGAUGGGCUCGCGUCCGAUUAGCUGGUUGGUGGGGUAAUGGCCCACCAAGGCAACGAUCGGUAGCCGAACUGAGAGGUUGACCGGCCACAUUGGGACUGAGACACGGCCCAGACUCCUACGGGAGGCAGCAGUGGGGAAUAUUGGGCAAUGGGGGAAACCCUGACCCAGCAACGCCGCGUGAAGGAGGAAGGCCUUCGGGUUGUAAACUUCUUUGAUCAGGGACGAAACCUGACGGUACCUGAAGAACAAGCCACGGCUAACUACGUGCCAGCAGCCGCGGUAAUACGUAGGUGGCAAGCGUUAUCCGGAUUUACUGGGUGUAAAGGGCGUGUAGGCGGGUUGGCAAGUCGGGUGUGAAAUCUCCAGGCUUAACUUGGAGGGGUCAUCCGAAACUGCUGAUCUUGAGUACUGGAGAGGAUAGUGGAAUUUCUGGUGGAGCGGUAAAAUGCGUAGAUAUCACGAGGAACACCAGUGGCGAACGCGGCUAUCUGGACAGUAACUGACGCUGAGCGCGAAAGCGUGGGUAGCAAACAGGAUUAGAUACCCUGGUAGUCCACGCCGUAACGAUGAUACUAGUGUAGGGGUAUCGACCCCCCUGUGCCGCAGUAACACAUUAAGUAUUCCACCUGGGGAGUACGACCGCAAGGUGAAACUCAAGGAAUUGACGGGGCCCGCACAAGCAGUGGAGUAUGUGGUUUAAUUCGACGCAACGCGAAGAACCUUACCAGGGCUUGACAUCCUUCGCACGCGGUAGAGAUACCGCAUUCCCUUCGGGGACGAAGAGACAGGUGGUGCAUGGUUGUCGUCAGCUCGUGUCGUGAGAUGUUGGGUUAAGUCCCGCAACGAGCGCAACCCCUAUGGUCAGUUGCCAUCAGGUUAAGCUGGGCACUCUGGCAAGACUGCCGUUGACAAAACGGAGGAAGGUGGGGACGACGUCAAAUCAUCAUGCCCCUUAUGUCCUGGGCUACACACGUACUACAAUGGCAACAACAGAGGGCAGCCAUGCCGCGAGGCAGAGCGAAUCCCAAAAUGUUGUCUCAGUUCGGAUUGCAGGCUGCAACUCGCCUGCAUGAAGUCGGAAUUGCUAGUAAUGGCAGGUCAGCAUACUGCCGUGAAUACGUUCCCGGGCCUUGUACACACCGCCCGUCACACCAUGAGAGUUUGUAACACCCGAAGUCAGUAGCUUAACCGCAAGGAGAGCGCUGCCGAAGGCGGGACAGAUAAUUAGGGUGAAGUCGUAACAAGGUAGCCGUA